UACGUAGGGUGCGAGCGUUGUCCGGAUUUAUUGGGCGUAAAGGGCUCGUAGGCGGCGUGUCGCGUCGGGAGUGAAAGCCCGUUGCUUAACGGCGGGUUGGCUUUCGGUACGGGCAUGCUGGAGUGCGGCAGGGGGGGCUGGAAUUCCUGGUGUAGCGGUGGAAUGCGCAGAUAUCAGGAGGAACACCGGUGGCGAAGGCGGGUCUCUGGGCCGUUACUGACGCUGAGGAGCGAAAGCGUGGGGAGCGAACAGG
Molecule: ribosomal RNA, 253 nt
Filed under: uncultured bacterium
Lineage: Bacteria
Description: partial 16S ribosomal RNA
Rfam family: Bacterial small subunit ribosomal RNA
Source: RNAcentral